UACGGAGGAGGCAAGCGUUAUCCGGAAUUAUUGGGCGUAAAGCGUCCGUAGGUGGUUGUACAAGUCUUUUGUCAAAGCGCGAGGCUUAACUUCGUAAGGGCAGGAGAAACUGUAGAGCUAGAGUGCGGUAGGGGUAGAGGGAAUUCCCAGUGUAGCGGUGAAAUGCGUAGAUAUUGGGAAGAACACCGGUGGCGAAAGCGCCUUGCUGGGCCUGCACUGACACUGAGGGACGAAAGCUAGGGGAGCGAAAGGG
Molecule: ribosomal RNA, 253 nt
Filed under: uncultured bacterium
Lineage: Bacteria
Description: partial 16S ribosomal RNA
Rfam family: Bacterial small subunit ribosomal RNA
Source: RNAcentral